RNAcentral lists this long non-coding RNA (1192 nucleotides) under Arabidopsis lyrata. Its description in RNAcentral is "long non-coding RNA (ALYR_LNC001940)". The record is from RNAcentral. Lineage: Eukaryota; Viridiplantae; Streptophyta; Magnoliopsida; Brassicales; Brassicaceae.
CUCAUUAAACCAUCACAAAGGGCAUUACAUAAUUUAGUACAGUGUUUAUACAGAUUGUAAUACAGUGCCUGGAAAAAAAAACGAGGGCUCUGGCAAAAAAAUAACACAAAAAACUCUUUAAUAGAGUUGUUGCAACAAAAGCCAGAGCAAACCUCUGAGAGAACCAAGGCCUGAACAAAACCUGAACCCGUACAAAUCAUACAAGACCUUUCCGAGGAAAACCAAACCAAACAAAGACAAACGACGCGCAUAAAAUAGAUAACUGGCUCGUAAAAGACACCAAAGCAAGAAACAGGAGAUGAUAAACCCUAAAAUCUCGGAUACCCGGUAAAUAUAUUCUCAAGCAAAACACAACCUUCCGAUUUCGAGAUAAGCAAGAGUUUCCCUUGAUAAAAAGGAAACCCCGCAAAAAAACCAUUGACUGGAAAAAAAGAAACCGGAAGCGAACUGCUUGGAAAAAAGAAGGAAAACCGGUACCAAGCCUAGCGAGGGACACGUAGAUCACAGAGCCUGAAAAACAGUUGACACUUGAUAAACGGACUUGGACGGACUAAAAUACCUUACAUUAUAGGUGGACAGGUCGACAGUGGAAUUGUUGAUCAGGAGAGGAUGUCACAUUUGUAAAGGCGCUCGACUAAGAACUCGACAGUGGAAUUGGAGAUGGAUCGACACUGUUGGAGGUUUAAUCCCAAUAAAGUGGAACCCAACCCGACGAUGGCUGGCAUGCUCUUGUCUGUCACCAUAGAGCAACCUGCAACUGAUAGGAUCUGCAGUUUGAGCUUAUCAGAGGAAGCCAAUGCAUGAACCCCUGAAUCUGAGAUUGCGCAUUUCGAAAGAUCCAAAUCACUGAGAAUCUGGCAGUUUGCUGCAAUGGAGACCAGGCUGGCGUCAGUGAUAUUGGAACAUCCAUCGAUGUUUAAGACUUCAAGAGUCCACCCGUUACGAGCAGUGAUGGCAGAGAUCACUCUGUCGGUCAAGUUGGAACAACCACUGAAGUUGACCUUCACAAGAGAGCUCUUAAUUAGAUGUAGGAAACCAGACUCUGUUAUCCCCUUAAGCCCACACAGAUCAAUUUCCUCGAGCUGAGGGCACAACUUCCCGAUGGCUGCAAGAUUUGCAUCACCAAAGCCAGGACAGUUACGAAUAGACAAAGAGCGCAGAGCGCUGCAAUGAGAUGAAGCAGGCAAUCCUG